Molecule: non-coding RNA, 150 nt
Filed under: Paenibacillus wynnii
Lineage: Bacteria; Bacillati; Bacillota; Bacilli; Caryophanales; Paenibacillaceae
Description: FMN sequence
Rfam family: FMN riboswitch aptamer (RFN element)
About the family: The RFN element is a highly conserved domain that is found frequently in the 5'-untranslated regions of prokaryotic mRNAs that encode for flavin mononucleotide (FMN) biosynthesis and transport proteins.
Source: Rfam by way of RNAcentral
CAAGAUUCUCGGAGUAAGGUGAAAUUCCUAACCGGCGGUGAUGUUCGUACACGAACUAAGCCCGCGACUCUCUUCUUUUUUUCAUAGAGAAGGGACUGAUCUGGUGCCAUUCCAGAGCCGACGGUAAAGUCCGGAUGGGAGAGGAUCAUA